GAAGGCUCUAGGGUUGUAAAGCACUUUCAGUGGGGAGGAAAAGUUCAAAACUAAUAUUUUUGAACCUUGACGUUACCUGCAGAAGAAGCACCGGCAAACUCCGUGCCAGCAGCCGCGGUAAUACGGAGGGUGCGAGCGUUAAUCGGAAUUACUGGGCGUAAAGCGCGCGUAGGUGGUUUGAUAAGCUAGCUGUGAAAGCCCUGGGCUCAACCUGGGAACUGCAGUUAGAACUGUCUGGCUAGAGUAUAGUAGAGGGUGGCGGAAUUUCCUGUGUAGCGGUGAAAUGCGUAGAUAUAGGAAGGAACAUCAGUGGCGAAGGCGGCCACCUGGACUAAUACUGACACUGAGGUGCGAAAGCGUGUGGAGCAAACAGGAUUAGAUACCCUGGUAGUCCACGCCGUAGACGAUGUCUACUAGCCGUUGGGAGACUUGAUCUCUUAGUGGCGCAGUUAACGCGA
Molecule: ribosomal RNA, 458 nt
Filed under: uncultured Gammaproteobacteria bacterium
Lineage: Bacteria; Pseudomonadati; Pseudomonadota; Gammaproteobacteria
Description: bacterial SSU rRNA
Rfam family: Bacterial small subunit ribosomal RNA
Source: RNAcentral